GGCGCCGGCUGCAAAAGCCGCUGCCGGCUGCGGGGGGGGCUGGUGCGGCGAGUGGCUUCUUCCGGCCGGCGGGGCCGCCUUCCCAGUCACGGCUCCUCGGAAAGCUUCAAACCAUGGUCAAGUCAGGUUGAGGGCUUGAAGGGCACAGGGAAACGGUACCAGAAGUGGGCAGCGUUGCAGGUGGUUCCAGGUGCUGCGAAGUGUGUGCGAAAUAGUGCUGCUUUUUCUUUCCAAGUGCCUGAAAUUAUUUAUUUUUUUACUUAAUUAAUGUAAUUCUAGUGUGUUACCAAGUGCUCAAGUGUCACUAUCCAGCUAAUAACAAAAUGUCUAGGUUUUAAGAGAAAAAAAAAAGGCUGAGACUGGUUCAGGAUAGAGACUGAGUACAGGAACUGUCUUGUUACUUAAUCUGGAGGUGUGAUAGUCUCACUUGUUUCUAUGCAAAUAUAUUUAAUGGCAUCGUGACUAUACUUAAAAUAUGUUUUAAAGGUGAUUUUAGUGAUGCAGUGGUAACUUGCUGUCUGAUUUCCUGAUGUGGGGACGAAGUAUAAGCUUGGCUGUUUAAGUUUCCAUUGCUAUUUGUUGUAGUCAAGUCUCACAUGCCAAACAGGACUGUCUGACACAACCCAUUAUACUUUGUCACAUCUCAGCCAUUCUUCCCAAACUUUGUCCUGGCAGCUGUCUGCCCUAAGUUGAUGGGUUGAUUGAUACAAGAGUGCUAUCCAGAAUGGUACAGCUGCUUUCUUACAGUGAUAUUAAGGCAAAAUGACUACUUGUGUCCCUCCUUGUGACUGCUAAGUGUCUCUAGUGCUUUACAGUAGGAUUGUGACAUGAUGUUGUUUGCCAUGUUUGUAGGGAGCUGCUGUUUGAUACUUGUCUUGAAAGCAGCCCAAAAUGGUCAAAUCCUACACUUUUCUAUAUUUUGUUUCCUAGAACAUGGUGAAAAAAUAUUGUCAAGGUUCUUGCUGCUCUGGGAAUAUUGUGGUCUUUAAAGAACCAUUUUUUGUGAUAGCUUCUGGUAGCUGACCAUCAGCAAUGGGAGAAAAGGAGUUCUGACUCCUGUGUGCUUGCUGUCUGCUUUCUCCAAGAGCUGGAAAGAGAGACUAGGAAGAAGGUAGAAGCAAAGGUGGUUGACGACCUGCAAAUGCCUCAACAAUUGAAGGAAAAAAAGCUGUAAUGCAAUCUCACAUUUUAAUGUACACAAAAGCACUCGUAUAAGAGAAAGCACUCACAAAUACCAGAACCACAGGAAAAUCUUCAACCAAAGUUUGCGCUUUGUAGAUGCAAAAUCAAUAGGAAAACUUGCAGGAAAUUGGGCUUUGUUAUUUUAGUUCUUUCAGAACAGAGCAUUUGGGGCUUUUUAGCUUUAUUUUCUAAGGAUGUGAGGUUUGUUCGUAUGUGCAGCAUUACGACUGCAUAUGUCUGUCAGUAUUUAACUGGUAAAGCUACUGAAAAUUUUAAUAAGCUGUUACAGUUUUCAGGAAUACUAAGUUGUUACAAGUCUUGUCUUCCUGAGAGGAAGGAAGAUUCCUUGUCAGUAUGACUGGGAGGAGAAUUGUGUUAAGAGCUUGCCCCUUUUUGUUUCAGUUAUUCACAUGGCUGCUGUUAAAACUGCAUUUCAGAGAUUUAUGUUCCUGAGUUGUUUUGCUAAUUCUGCCUAUCCCUCCCACUGUCAAAGAAUGCAACAAAGUUCUGUCAACACAGAAAGCAAAUACUAGGAGUAGUCCAGCCCGUUGACAGGAAGAUCAGGCCUUUUUUUUGGAGGGAGGGCUGGUUUCUGUCUGCUGGCGAACCUUCUAAAACUGAAAUCUUACAAGCAGCAGAUGCUGUCAGAACAGUUAUGAGACGUACAUGCACAUGUUUCUUCACUGAUUCGAUACUGUGAAAGUGAAAUGACAAGUCCCAAAAGAACCGUCGGAGUCUAACAGCAAAAGUCUUGUGCAACUUUGGAAGAACGAGCUUUUUCAGACUGAAAGGCAGCAAGAGCAGCCAGGGGAACAUUAUAGCAAGUUUUAAUGCAUUUGAAAACUUGCAGAAAGGCCUCAGAGUUUCUGUAAUGUAUGCCAGCUGCCAGAUAUCCCCAAGACACAGAUACUUGUGCAGAGCCUGGCAGAAGCUGGGGUAGCGCACUCUUACCCAGCCCACUGGCACAGUGACUUGGAGGAGGAACAACACAGUCUUCUGGAUCCCGGUUUUUCAAAACCUCACUCUUGGUUGUUCACAGCUGUGUAAAUUCUAUGUCAAAGGUUACAGUUACAACUUUUCUGGGGAAAUUGCCAUGGAGUUUGAGACCUCUUCAGGUUUGGCCUGUGCUGCUGAAGCUAACAGGACUGGGAAGCCUGGGUCUUGGUAUGUACAGUUGUUGGGGAUAGAUUUAUGUGUGUAAAUGUGCAAAUAAAUGCUUCUAUGGGAUUUUUCAAAAUCCAA
Long non-coding RNA from Columba livia (rock pigeon), 2424 nucleotides. RefSeq lists it as uncharacterized. NCBI's taxonomy places the organism in Eukaryota, Metazoa, Chordata, Aves, Columbiformes, Columbidae. The transcript is spliced from 5 exons. The record is from RefSeq and is a predicted model, not a curated record.